RNAcentral lists this ribosomal RNA (572 nucleotides) under uncultured bacterium. RNAcentral's name for it is "partial 16S ribosomal RNA". It matches the Rfam family "Bacterial small subunit ribosomal RNA", at positions 355 to 924 of the family's 1533-position model. The record is from RNAcentral.
CUAAGAAUAUUCCGCAAUGGACGGAAGUCUGACGGAGCGACGCCGCGUGGAUGACGAAGGCCGAAAGGUUGUAAAGUUCUUUUGCUGGGGAAGAAUAACCGCAGGAGGGAAUGCCUGUGGGAUGACAAGAACCGGCGAAUAAGCCCCGGCCAACUACGUGCCAGCAGCCGCGGUAACACGUAGGGGGCGAGCGUUGUUCGGAAUUACUGGGCGUAAAGGGCAUGUAGGCGGCUUGGAAGCGGCGNGAAGAUCUGCAGCUUAACUGCAGGGGUGCGCUGGGAACUGCUGAGCUUGAGUGACGGAGAGGGAGCUGGAAUUCCUGGUGUAGGGGUGAAAUCUGUAGAUAUCAGGAAGAACACCGAUGGCGAAGGCAAGCUCCUGGCCGAUGACUGACGCUGAGGUGCGAAAGUGUGGGGAUCAAAACAGGAUUAGAUACCCUGGUAGUCCACACAGUCAACGAUGUGCACUAGGUGCUGGGGCGGUAGCUUCGGUGCCGGAGCGAACGUGGUAAGUGCACCGCCUGGGGAGUAUGCUCGCAAGGGUGAAACUCAAAUGAAUUGACGGGGGUCAUA